Molecule: non-coding RNA, 5606 nt
Organism: Phalacrocorax carbo (great cormorant)
Lineage: Eukaryota; Metazoa; Chordata; Aves; Suliformes; Phalacrocoracidae
Source: RefSeq, a predicted model, not a curated record
CAUUCCUGCAGGAGGAAGCAAGGCACAGACGAUGAGCCACACAUGGGAGCAAACUUCAUGCUGUCCCAACUUGAAAAACUGGAUGGGCGCUGCUGUCUGAUGUCCUCGGCCACACCACCUUGCUGGGGCAUGAUGGGAGGUGCAGGAUUUAUUUUCCCUGGUUUAUAACUGCACAGGUGCAUUCCUCCUCUCCAGCACUGAAAUCGGUGAUGAGUUGUAGCUGCUAAAAUGAAAAUGUCAGAAUUCAGGGACCGUAGAUGAAGACAUUCAUCAUGGAGCCCAGGCAACAAUGAGGUCAUGAUUUUAGACUCCUUCCUGAACUUUAUGUGCACAGCCAGAUUCUUCAAGGAGUUCAGGCAAAGUGCAAAUCUAUCCAGAGCUCCUUUAAAACUGGUGUGCUCAACACCCAUCCACCAGUGCACGGCUGGAUCUCCUAUGUACUGCACACACCUAAGUCCUGUCACUCAGAUGCUUUCUUCUAUCCAGUGUGAUAAUAUUUGCAGAUACUUUUGGAAAUACAUUGGUGGAAUGAGCUAAUGAAUUUAAGUCCAGAUGCAGACAAACAAGCAAAAUACACCAGAAAGCAGCAAUAUCAGCCUGCUGGAUGAGAUUCAUAGUGCUUCCCAGGAGGAAAUAUGUCACCAAGCGCUUGCCAGCGACUGUUCUCUCCUUCCCCCAGGUUUGCCGGAUGGUCAUCCUGGCUUUGACAUGGUGGUAUGAGGAUGUCACAAGUAGGACGAGGAAAGAGCUCAAGAUGGGAAGAGUUUCCCCAGAUGCCCCUGAGGCCAGUGGGAGUCCAUGGUCAACAUGGGUGUGACUGCAUUAUCAAAACCAACACCAUCCAACCUAAAGAAUGUUGCUCUACAACAGAGAGAUAAGCAUAGGUUAGGUGUGACAAGGCCUGUGGCUUCCAAACUAACUGUCACUAUAUUUUCCCUCCUUUGCCUGCAUCUGAGAAACAAUACUGUCUGUGAUGCCAGAUUUCCAGCCUGCAUGCACAGAUCUCCAUGAAACAGUCCUGGAGAUGUCAACAUGAAGCGAACAUUAAGUCUACAGGAGGGGGUUCAGAAAGCAGUGGAGACCUGUGAGCAACCAAUCUCUUUUCUAGAGGUCAUUUUGAACAGCAUCCAGUGUUUUAGCAUUGAAACAAAUCUUUGUGGUUUUACAGGAAGUCCUUUUGCAUGAAGUUAUACUUGAGUUGUCUCUCUGAUCUGAGUUAGAAAUUGCAGUUUGUAAUUAUCUCAAAGCUUUUCCCAUCCCCUCUUGUUCCAAUUGCAAAAUGUUUGAUGUAGGACAUAGCCAAAAAGGAAGAUCGGCUAUAGGUUCCCCCUGUUCACACCACUGACCCUUGUGUAACUCCUUCAUGUUGCACAAUGACGGGGCCAUGGUACCUCCUGUGACAAAGCCUAGUUAUUCCAUCAGCAUUGAUGUGACACCUCCUUUAGGUCUGUUAAUGAGUGUCAUUAUCUAAACGGCACCAAGAGAUCAAGACCAUAUGCCAUACAGAUGAGGAAAAGCAAUGUGGCCCGAGGCACAGAGAGGUAAGUAGGUCUAGAGUCCCCCUGAGAAACAGAUUCAAAAUAUCAAUUUAAAGAAAUAGAUUUCUUAAUUUUUCUGGGGCACAGCUACAGCCAUGCCACUGAGUUCAGUGGAUGAUUGGCAUUGGAUUUGCAUUGGGGUCACAUCCAUCAGCCAGGGUACAACCCAAAGCACAACAAACCGAAGCGCUUUUGACCAUCUGCAAGGGCUACCACUCUGUAAACAGAGGCGCAAACAGCUGCAGCAAGGCAGACAUACAAGCAGAGGCAUGACUUAAGUGCACAAACAGGAGUUAUGACCUCAAGUGCUGCAUGGUUAAAGUCAGCAGCAAUACUCCCAUUUUCCUUUCCUAAUACUCAGAAGAAACAUGCCCUGGUAUAAGUACUAAUAAUACCAGCUAACUUUUGAUUUUCCUCAGAAUAAAGCUUCUAAAUUGCUUUCUUAGAAGCUCAGCAGGACAUGAAGGGGGAUUAAAUGUGCGUGGAUAACAAGAAAAUGUCAAAUACAGCAAGAAACAUUUAUUUUCUUCCUAAAUGCAAGCAUUUCAGAGAAGCAGGGGCCAGCUUGGAGCUCUUGAAGAUGGCAUCUCUGGUGAGGCAGUGGGUUCAGCAGUGGCUGGGCUGCUGUUUUUACGAGCAGAGACAUGGGUAGCAGGGUUUCCCCCUAAACCCAAGCUCAGAAGUCAGGGACAGAUAUCCAGGUGCCUCUGGCCCAGUGUCUUUUGGCUGUCCCCCCAACUUCUGGAGCAAGCCGCUGCCUGGUGCCCACCAGACCUUGUCAGAAACAGCAGCACCUGCUCAGGUAUCACACAGGACUACUGAAAACAGUGGUGAUGAACCUCUACUCAAAAUAAAGGGUCACACAGGGACAGGUUACUCUCCCUCAUCCCCUGAAGGCACUGGCUGGCUUGUCCUACCCUGUGUGCUCGGUGGCAUCGUUCCGCAGAGCCUCCCAAGCCAGUGGUGCCAUUUCUGACCGAAAGAACUGCAUGUGAACAGCCACUGAGGCGAUGAGGCUAAAUGUCUCCUUCCUGGCACUUUAAAAUGCCACUUUUCAGAGGGAGGUUUUUACACCAACGUGUAUUAAUAAUGUCGUUGCCCAAACCAAAUGUCAAGACUGGCACACAAGAAGGAUGGAAACCUGUAAAGGGUACAGGACAAGGGAAAAACUUUUGCUGCUGUCCUUACUGUCAGACCACAGAAAACCUGUUUCCCUCUGCUACCUCUCACCAGCUUUUGCUAUCAGGAUUUUCUCUUCUUGUCAGUCUGUCAGCGAGUCAAAGCAAGACAUUGUUCCUCCACUUCAUACGUGCCAGUUUCUAUCAUUUAAAGUCUGAGUUGCUAAGCACUUUAUUUACAGCCAAAUCCCCUCUCUCCCUGUCUUUCUUUCUUCCUUUCUUUCUUCCUUUCUCUCUUUCUCUCUCUUUUCUUUUUUUUUUUUUUUCCCCUCAUUUUUUGUCUCUUUGGCUUUUUGCCUUUUAUUUUUUGCAAUGCUGCUGGCAGGGUUAGCUUUCCCAGCUCCUCCCCAGGCACCACUGCACUACCUGCAACCUGCCAUGAUGGGGUGUGCAUGGGGAGGGGCUCUGAGGGGUGGGUGUUUUUGGUGCCUAAAUAAGCCUCUGGCUCUCCAGAAAGGCCAGAGUGUUUUAUGUCCGGGGAGCUGGCUCUGGGGAGCAGGUGAGCCAUUUGCCCAUGGUCACAGACCCAUGGCAGGAGUCCCCGUCUCCAAACUGUAGGUGAUCAAUUGGACAACACAUAAAAAAAGAGCAUUACUGUUACUGAUUUGCAAAUACUACUACGUUGCCUGGCUUAUGCUCUGUAAUCAUGUUAUUAAUACCCAUUUAGCUGAUUGACCCUGUCACUUUAACAGCAGAUUGAAUCUUCUUUGUAGAAGGUUGGACUGACUUUAUUUAUGGCUUUGCAUUUUAAUAAGAAAAUAAACAAAAUAAUUUUAAAAAAAAACAAGAGUGGAAAAAAGUCAGGUUUUAAAUUUAAUAGUUCUAGGGGAAAAAAAGCAUUAAUUGGAGCGGUAUGUUAAAGUCUGGAUUAAUAUUAAUCCCAAUGAGAUGCCAUGCAUAUAUACACAAUACGGAUGUACAAUGAUAUAUGCAUACAACUGUAUUGUUUUUAGCAGCAUGACCAACACAGCCUAAACACUGGUAUCAUUAUAAUAAGCAAAGAAACUUUCUUCCCAGCAGUCAAUGAAAAACCAUGACAAAAAAUGAGACUUUGAAAUAUAAAAUUAGUUAAAAUCCAGUAAUAGAGUAAGAGUUCCUAAGAGAUUCACCUCCUUGUCCCGGAUGUCCUUCCCUCGUGCUACGACACAGAUGGAUUCAGAGGAGCCACCUGACCCAACGCAACUCUUUCAUCUUACCUCUUCGAAGAAAAAUUUCCACCAUUUUCUCCUCUGAAUCAUGUUUUCUGUACUGCAGAAGGCAUUGUUUUGGUGGUUUUCCACAACACCAGCAUACACAUACAAACAUAACCUUAACACAGCAGCUCUCUCAGAGGCAGCGCACAGGCAUAGGAGGAGCCUCACAUGCAACAUUCACCCAUUAAAAAGGUGCAUCUUUAUUAUUACAAGGGAAAGAACAGACAUUCAUGGGUCUCAUCCACUCAAAUACACAGUCUUUCCGGUUCAGAUACAGAAGUGUCACCUCAGGUGUGGAGGUUUUCAUUACUAAAAUGCUUGCAACAGCCCAGACAAGAGGCCCAUGUGGCCUCUGGGUUCUGUCUCUGAGACUACCCAGGCAGCCGAUGCCUAAAGGAGAAUAAAGACCAUGGUAAGUGUAUUCUCGCAGAGAGAAGGCGUUUAUGGCACAGGGAUCUUCUGAAUCAGAGACUGCAACUUCCUCUUUAUUUAAAAAAAAUUCAAGAGCCAUUAGUUCUUGAUGCACCUUGGUCUCAUCCACCCAACCAUGAGCACUUGCUCAUAACAUUCGUUUGGAAAAGCCAAACAGCAUCCUCAGACCAAAAUGCAGUUUUGCUCUCAAAACCAGCAAAAAGUUUGGCAGGAUGUGGAGCUGCUCCCGUAACGUCACAGGAAAGAAGUGCUACAUAUGAAGAGUCAAAAAGAAAUGUAUUUCUGGGGACUUUAGCCAACUCAGGAAAGCUUGCUUCUAUUUUAAAAUAUCAUUUUGCUUUUCCAAGCUGCCUGCAAAAUUCUCUUGAUGAAUCCUGGCCCUAAAAAGCCCACCAAAAUGUCAGCUUGGAUAUUUAGUAAGGCCACAUCCCUUUUCCAGGGAGAAGAAAGAUAUUGCACCGGAGGUUGCGACAUGGGCUGUCAGGCACCUGGUUGCAAAGUUCAGAGUAUCAACACAGAGAAAAUGUACAGGGCAGCCGUUACAGUCCAUCCCCUGGUGCAGGUGCUUUUUGUCCUUUUUAGUGGCAUAUUCAGACAGUUUUGACUUAAUCCAUUUCUACAGGCAAUUCAAACACAACUUGCAGGCACCCAGCAAAGAGGCAUACUCUCUUGCAGGCAGAGAAAACAGGAGUGCCUCUGGGCCACUCCCUCCUUGCUCUCCCAGAAGGACUUCUCAUCUUGGAAGUCAUUUUUUUCAAACAUUCAGCCUAAAAGUCUUCCUUUCUGCUUCUGUCUCCCCUUCACCCCCUGCGUACCAAACGCCCCUUUCCAGGUUUCUCUUCAAUGCUAAUAGACUUGCUUCUUCUAAUGCUCCCCCUAUUCCUACAACACCUCCAUCUUCCUUUUAUCACCGAUGCUCAUGAGCAUAUUUAACUUUUUUAAGAAUUGCCUCGUGAAUCAGCAAUUUUACUACAAUUACUAUUUUACUUGCUGUAUUCCAAACUCCGGAUAUCACCAAAGAUAUGCAAUUGUCCAUGACGGGAUGAAACGAAGCAGCCUUAACCAGUAUAAACCCAUGUUAUUCCUGGUGCUGAAUAGGAGCAAAAUCCAACUCACAGCCACUCCCUUACCUUCAUAAAUAAAUAAAGCAAUGAGAAAAAUUCUUCUUUAAACUCUUGCUGCCAAUGCUGACUCCAAAAGCCUGGUUCUCUGAGCUAUAGGAGCAUUGUGCUUCAAUAAUUGUAGGCACGGCGUUUGUGUCCCCC